Molecule: long non-coding RNA, 211 nt
Filed under: Elaeis guineensis (African oil palm)
Lineage: Eukaryota; Viridiplantae; Streptophyta; Magnoliopsida; Arecales; Arecaceae
Description: long non-coding RNA (EGUI_LNC062244)
Source: RNAcentral
UGACAGCCGCAUGCGGCACGGCCAUCUAGGGACAUUGUCCCGCCGAGGGCAUUGUCAACCCUGGUGAUUUGACAGCCGCACGGCGACGUGACACUUUCACGGCGACUCUGACAGUCCACAGUGAGUUGACAGUUCCUCACUUGUCCGCGCCAUUAAUGACGGCGCCAUACCGUGCUCCACUAUAUAAAUCGGGGAAGGUAACAGUGCAAGG